This 253-nucleotide ribosomal RNA is filed under the name uncultured bacterium. Its description in RNAcentral is "partial 16S ribosomal RNA". It matches the Rfam family "Bacterial small subunit ribosomal RNA", at positions 524 to 776 of the family's 1533-position model. The record is from RNAcentral.
UACAGAGGUCUCAAGCGUUGUUCGGAUUCAUUGGGCGUAAAGGGUGCGUAGGCGGUUCACUAAGUCAGCAGUGAAAUACGGCAGCUCAACUGUCGAGGUGCUGUUGAUACUGGUGAACUUGAGUACUGAUGAGGUAGGCGGAAUGGACGGUGUAGCGGUGAAAUGCUUAGAGAUCGUCCAGAACACCGAUAGCGAAGGCAGCUUACUAAGGAGUAACUGACGCUGAGGCACGAAAGUGUGGGGAUCAAACAGG